This 100-nucleotide transfer RNA is filed under the name Methanobrevibacter sp. RNAcentral describes it as "tRNA-Asp". It matches the Rfam family "tRNA". From Rfam's summary of the family: Transfer RNA (tRNA) molecules are approximately 80 nucleotides in length. Their secondary structure includes four short double-helical elements and three loops (D, anti-codon, and T loops). Lineage: Archaea; Methanobacteriati; Methanobacteriota; Methanobacteria; Methanobacteriales; Methanobacteriaceae. The record is from RNAcentral.
GGUGCUGUCGUCUAACGGUAGGAUUCUAAAUGCUUACAAAAUUAAUUAAUUAUAUUCACUUGUCGCGUGAGAGAUCCGGGUUCGACUCCCGGCAGCACCG